This 497-nucleotide ribosomal RNA is filed under the name uncultured bacterium. Its description in RNAcentral is "partial 16S ribosomal RNA". It matches the Rfam family "Bacterial small subunit ribosomal RNA", at positions 28 to 507 of the family's 1533-position model. The record is from RNAcentral.
GAUGAACGCUGGCGGCGUGCCUAAUACAUGCCAGUCGAGCGAACAGACGAGGAGCUUGCUCCUCUGACGUUAGCGGCGGAUGGGUGAGUAACACGUGGAUAACCUACCUAUAAGACUGGGAUAACUUCGGGAAACCGGAGCUAAUACCGGAUAAUAUAUUGAACCGCAUGGUUCAAUAGUGAAAGACGGUUUUGCUGUCACUUAUAGAUGGAUCCGCGCCGCAUUAGCUAGUUGGUAAGGUAACGGCUUACCAAGGCGACGAUGCGUAGCCGACCUGAGAGGGUGAUCGGCCACACUGGAACUGAGACACGGUCCAGACUCCUACGGGAGGCAGCAGUAGGGAAUCUUCCGCAAUGGGCGAAAGCCUGACGGAGCAACGCCGCGUGAGUGAUGAAGGUCUUCGGAUCGUAAAACUCUGUUAUUAGGGAAGAACAAAUGUGUAAGUAACUAUGCACGUCUUGACGGUACCUAAUCAGAAAGCCACGGCUAACUACGUG